GAUGAACGCUGGCGGCGUGCCUAAUACAUGCAAGUCGAGCGAACAGACGAGGAGCUUGCUCCUCUGGCGUUAGCGGCGGACGGGUGGGUAACACGUGGAUAACCUACCUAUAAGACUGGGAUAACUUCGGGAAACCGGAGCUAAUACCGGAUAAUAUAUUGAACCGCAUGGUUCAAUAGUGAAAGACGGUUUUGCUGUCACUUAUAGAUGGAUCCGCGCCGCAUUAGCUAGUUGGUAAGGUAACGGCUUACCAAGGCAACGAUGCGUAGCCGACCUGAGAGGGUGAUCGGCCACACUGGAACUGAGACACGGUCCAGACUCCUACGGGAGGCAGCAGUAGGGAAUCUUCCGCAAAGGGCGAAAGCCUGACGGAGCAACGCCGCGUGAGUGAUGAAGGUCUUCGGAUCGUAAAACUCUGUUAUUAGGGAAGAACAAAUGUGUAAGUAACUAUGCACGUCUUGACGGUACCUAAUCAGAAAGCCACGGCUAACUACGUG
This 497-nucleotide ribosomal RNA is filed under the name uncultured bacterium. RNAcentral's name for it is "partial 16S ribosomal RNA". It matches the Rfam family "Bacterial small subunit ribosomal RNA", at positions 28 to 507 of the family's 1533-position model. The record is from RNAcentral.